AUAUAGAACAUGACGAGUCCCAAAUAGGACGAAACGCGCGUCCUGGAU
Schistosoma curassoni is the source of this 48-nucleotide non-coding RNA. Lineage: Eukaryota; Metazoa; Platyhelminthes; Trematoda; Strigeidida; Schistosomatidae. The record is from Rfam.